GUGGGGAAUCUUGCGCAAUGGGCGAAAGCCUGACGCAGCCAUGCCGCGUGAAUGAUGAAGGUCUUAGGAUUGUAAAAUUCUUUCACCGGGGACGAUAAUGACGGUACCCGGAGAAGAAGCCCCGGCUAACUUCGUGCCAGCAGCCGCGGUAAUACGAAGGGGGCUAGCGUUGCUCGGAAUUACUGGGCGUAAAGGGCGCGUAGGCGGACAGUUUAGUCAGAGGUGAAAGCCCAGGGCUCAACCUUGGAAUUGCCUUUGAUACUGGCUGUCUUGAGUACGGGAGAGGUGAGUGGAACUCCGAGUGUAGAGGUGAAAUUCGUAGAUAUUCGGAAGAACACCAGUGGCGAAGGUGACUCACUGGCCCGUUACUGACGCUGAGGCGCGAAAGCGUGGGGAGCAAACAGGAUUAGAUACCCGAGUAGUCC
RNAcentral lists this ribosomal RNA (425 nucleotides) under uncultured bacterium. RNAcentral describes it as "partial 16S ribosomal RNA". It matches the Rfam family "Bacterial small subunit ribosomal RNA", at positions 354 to 796 of the family's 1533-position model. The record is from RNAcentral.